GAUGAGCCCGCGGCCUGUUAGCUAGUCGGCGGGGUAACGGCCCACCGAGGCGAUUAUGGGUAGCCGGGUUGAGAGACCGACCGGCCAGAUUGGGACUGAGACACGGCCCAGACUCCUACGGGAGGCAGCAGUGGGGAAUCUUGCGCAAUGGGCGGAAGCCUGACGCAGCGACGCCGCGUGCGGGACGAAGGCCUUCGGGUCGUAAACCGCUUUCAGCAGGGACGAGGCCCUCACGGUGACGGUACCUGCAGAAGAAGCCCCGGCUAACUACGUGCCAGCAGCCGCGGUAAUACGUAGGGGGCGAGCGUUAUCCGGAUUCAUUGGGCGUAAAGCGCGCGUAGGCGGCCUGUUAGGUCGGGGGUCAAAUACCGGGGCUCAACCCCGGUCCGCCCCCGAUACCGGCAGGCUUGAGUCUGGUAGGCGAAGGCGGAAUUCCCAGUGUAGCGGUGGAAUGCGCAGAUAUUGGGAAGAACACCGGCGGCGAAGGCGGCCUUCUGGGCCACGACUGACGCUGAGGCGCGAAAGCUAGGGGAGCGAACAGGAUUAGAUACCCUGGUAGUCCUA
Molecule: ribosomal RNA, 564 nt
Filed under: uncultured bacterium
Lineage: Bacteria
Description: bacterial SSU rRNA
Rfam family: Bacterial small subunit ribosomal RNA
Source: RNAcentral